This 208-nucleotide ribosomal RNA is filed under the name uncultured bacterium. RNAcentral describes it as "partial 16S ribosomal RNA". It matches the Rfam family "Bacterial small subunit ribosomal RNA", at positions 524 to 726 of the family's 1533-position model. The record is from RNAcentral.
UACAGAGGGUGCAAGCGUUAAUCGGAAUUACUGGGCGUAAAGCGCGCGUAGGUGGUUUGUUAAGUGGUAUGUGAAAUACCCCGGGCCGUCAACCUGGGAACGUGCAUCCAAAACUAGACUGACUAGAGUAUGGUAGAGGGUGGUGGAAUUUCCUGUGUAGCGGUGAAAUGCGUAGAUAUAGGAAGGAACACCAGUGGCGAAGGCGACC